CCUACGGGUGGCUGCAGUUCGGAAUAUUCGGCAAUGGACGAAAGUCUGACCGAGCGACGCCGCGUGCGGGAUGAAGGCCCUAUGGGUUGUAAACCGCUUUCGCGAUUAAGUAAAUCAUGUUGGAUUAACACUCCGAUAUGUUGAAUAAGGAUCGUAAAGAAGCCCCCGCUAAUCACGUGCCAGCAGCGGCGGUAAUACGUGAGGGGCGAACGUUGUUCGGUGUCACUGGGCUUAAAGGGUGCGUAGGUGGUUCUGUAAGUAAGGAGUGAAAUCCCUCGGCUUACCCGGGGAAUUGCUUUUUAUACUGCAGGACUUGAGGGCCAAAGGGGAAAAGGGAACUCCAGGUGUAGCGGUGAAAUGCGCAGAUAUCUGGGGGAAGGCCGGCGGCGAAGGCGCUUUUCUGGUUGGUACCUGACACUGAGGCACGAAAGCGUGGGGAGCAAACAGGAUUAGAUACCCUUGUAGUC
This 467-nucleotide ribosomal RNA is filed under the name uncultured bacterium. RNAcentral's name for it is "bacterial SSU rRNA". It matches the Rfam family "Bacterial small subunit ribosomal RNA", at positions 338 to 795 of the family's 1533-position model. The record is from RNAcentral.